GGGUUGUGAGGUUAAGCGACUAAGCGUACACGGUGGAUGCCCUGGCAGUCAGAGGCGAUGAAGGACGUGCUAAUCUGCGAUAAGCGUCGGUAAGGUGAUAUGAACCGUUAUAACCGGCGAUUUCCGAAUGGGGAAACCCAGUGUGAUUCGUCACACUAUCAUUAACUGAAUCCAUAGGUUAAUGAGGCGAACCGGGGGAACUGAAACAUCUAAGUACCCCGAGGAAAAGAAAUCAACCGAGAUUCCCCCAGUAGCGGCGAGCGAACGGGGAGCAGCCCAGAGCCUGAAUCAGUGUGUGUGUUAGUGGAAGCGUCUGGAAAGGCGCGCGAUACAGGGUGACAGCCCCGUACACAAAAAUGCACAUGCUGUGAGCUCGAUGAGUAGGGCGGGACACGUGGUAUCCUGUCUGAAUAUGGGGGGACCAUCCUCCAAGGCUAAAUACUCCUGACUGACCGAUAGUGAACCAGUACCGUGAGGGAAAGGCGAAAAGAACCCCGGCGAGGGGAGUGAAAAAGAACCUGAAACCGUGUACGUACAAGCAGUGGGAGCACGCUUAGGCGUGUGACUGCGUACCUUUUGUAUAAUGGGUCAGCGACUUAUAUUCUGUAGCAAGGUUAACCGAAUAGGGGAGCCGAAGGGAAACCGAGUCUUAACUGGGCGUUAAGUUGCAGGGUAUAGACCCGAAACCCGGUGAUCUAGCCAUGGGCAGGUUGAAGGUUGGGUAACACUAACUGGAGGACCGAACCGACUAAUGUUGAAAAAUUAGCGGAUGACUUGUGGCUGGGGGUGAAAGGCCAAUCAAACCGGGAGAUAGCUGGUUCUCCCCGAAAGCUAUUUAGGUAGCGCCUCGUGAAUUCAUCUCCGGGGGUAGAGCACUGUUUCGGCAAGGGGGUCAUCCCGACUUACCAACCCGAUGCAAACUGCGAAUACCGGAGAAUGUUAUCACGGGAGACACACGGCGGGUGCUAACGUCCGUCGUGAAGAGGGAAACAACCCAGACCGCCAGCUAAGGUCCCAAAGUCAUGGUUAAGUGGGAAACGAUGUGGGAAGGCCCAGACAGCCAGGAUGUUGGCUUAGAAGCAGCCAUCAUUUAAAGAAAGCGUAAUAGCUCACUGGUCGAGUCGGCCUGCGCGGAAGAUGUAACGGGGCUAAACCAUGCACCGAAGCUGCGGCAGCGACGCUUAUGCGUUGUUGGGUAGGGGAGCGUUCUGUAAGCCUGUGAAGGUGUACUGUGAGGCAUGCUGGAGGUAUCAGAAGUGCGAAUGCUGACAUAAGUAACGAUAAAGCGGGUGAAAAGCCCGCUCGCCGGAAGACCAAGGGUUCCUGUCCAACGUUAAUCGGGGCAGGGUGAGUCGACCCCUAAGGCGAGGCCGAAAGGCGUAGUCGAUGGGAAACAGGUUAAUAUUCCUGUACUUGGUGUUACUGCGAAGGGGGGACGGAGAAGGCUAUGUUGGCCGGGCGACGGUUGUCCCGGUUUAAGCGUGUAGGCUGGUUUUCCAGGCAAAUCCGGAAAAUCAAGGCUGAGGCGUGAUGACGAGGCACUACGGUGCUGAAGCAACAAAUGCCCUGCUUCCAGGAAAAGCCUCUAAGCAUCAGGUAACAUCAAAUCGUACCCCAAACCGACACAGGUGGUCAGGUAGAGAAUACCAAGGCGCUUGAGAGAACUCGGGUGAAGGAACUAGGCAAAAUGGUGCCGUAACUUCGGGAGAAGGCACGCUGAUAUGUAGGUGAAGUCCCUCGCGGAUGGAGCUGAAAUCAGUCGAAGAUACCAGCUGGCUGCAACUGUUUAUUAAAAACACAGCACUGUGCAAACACGAAAGUGGACGUAUACGGUGUGACGCCUGCCCGGUGCCGGAAGGUUAAUUGAUGGGGUCAGCGCAAGCGAAGCUCUUGAUCGAAGCCCCGGUAAACGGCGGCCGUAACUAUAACGGUCCUAAGGUAGCGAAAUUCCUUGUCGGGUAAGUUCCGACCUGCACGAAUGGCGUAAUGAUGGCCAGGCUGUCUCCACCCGAGACUCAGUGAAAUUGAACUCGCUGUGAAGAUGCAGUGUACCCGCGGCAAGACGGAAAGACCCCGUGAACCUUUACUAUAGCUUGACACUGAACAUUGAGCCUUGAUGUGUAGGAUAGGUGGGAGGCUUUGAAGUGUGGACGCCAGUCUGCAUGGAGCCGACCUUGAAAUACCACCCUUUAAUGUUUGAUGUUCUAACGUUGACCCGUAAUCCGGGUUGCGGACAGUGUCUGGUGGGUAGUUUGACUGGGGCGGUCUCCUCCUAAAGAGUAACGGAGGAGCACGAAGGUUGGCUAAUCCUGGUCGGACAUCAGGAGGUUAGUGCAAUGGCAUAAGCCAGCUUGACUGCGAGCGUGACGGCGCGAGCAGGUGCGAAAGCAGGUCAUAGUGAUCCGGUGGUUCUGAAUGGAAGGGCCAUCGCUCAACGGAUAAAAGGUACUCCGGGGAUAACAGGCUGAUACCGCCCAAGAGUUCAUAUCGACGGCGGUGUUUGGCACCUCGAUGUCGGCUCAUCACAUCCUGGGGCUGAAGUAGGUCCCAAGGGUAUGGCUGUUCGCCAUUUAAAGUGGUACGCGAGCUGGGUUUAGAACGUCGUGAGACAGUUCGGUCCCUAUCUGCCGUGGGCGCUGGAGAACUGAGGGGGGCUGCUCCUAGUACGAGAGGACCGGAGUGGACGCAUCACUGGUGUUCGGGUUGUCAUGCCAAUGGCACUGCCCGGUAGCUAAAUGCGGAAGAGAUAAGUGCUGAAAGCAUCUAAGCACGAAACUUGCCCCGAGAUGAGUUCUCCCUGACUCCUUGAGAGUCCUGAAGGAACGUUGAAGACGACGACGUUGAUAGGCCGGGUGUGUAAGCGCAGCGAUGCGUUGAGCUAACCGGUACUAAUGAACCGUGAGGCUUAACCUUACAACGCCGAAG
RNAcentral lists this ribosomal RNA (2925 nucleotides) under Escherichia coli. RNAcentral describes it as "bacterial LSU rRNA". It matches the Rfam family "Bacterial large subunit ribosomal RNA". Lineage: Bacteria; Pseudomonadati; Pseudomonadota; Gammaproteobacteria; Enterobacterales; Enterobacteriaceae. The record is from RNAcentral.